UGUCCUGGGCCCUCGCCCCGCCUCCCAGCCUGUACUGCGGCGGCAGGAGGCGCAGCUGCCGGGGUUUGAGGUGACAAAACUGAGGCUUUGAGAAGUCCAAGAGAAUGCUUCUACUAAAUGGGAGCGGGAGCAGUCAAUUCAGGUAUAUGAUUUUUCAACUUCCCGUUCUGCCGAGGCUGCUGUACAUGGGAGCCCUGGGCCUCAAGCAUCAUCACAAGCCUCUUGGGAGUGUGUUGCCUGCUGCUGAGGAAAAAGAGUCGCUCAAGGCAAGAAGACCCAGAGCCAGCAAGACUGAAACAAAAAGCAAAGGAGUUAUCAUGGAGGAUGAGCAUACGGCUGGUGGACAGUUCUCAAAGAAGGAGAAAAAAUCACUUCUGAAAUUCUCAAAUCUCAUCUUUCAUCUGCCUGAGCAUAUGGUCCCAGGAGCCAGCCUCAUGGAACACAGCCCCCGAGAAAUGGAUGCCCUCUCUGUUUGUUGGCAACACCCAGCUACCAGGCCUGCAGGGGACCUGGCAGCAUCUAGCGGCGUGAUCCAGAGCCUGGUGGAGAGCUGGGAAGCUUGCAGCUCCUCUAAUUCUUACUGCUAUAAACCAAAGUUGGUUUUAUAGCUCAGUUUGAGAAUCGAUUCUCCAAAGAGCAAAGAAAAGGAAGAACGGGCUUUUCUGCUGGGGCCGCCCCCUUUGAGAAGCUGCUGCUCGUCAGCUGGGUCCCUGCUGCCCUGCAGGAAGCCAGGUGGCUGUGGCCUUGGCGUCCCUGGGCCCUGGUCGCCGCCGCCGCCAGCUCUGUCCGCACUGCUCCUCCUGCAAGCGGCAGGCCCGGGAAGGAAGAGUUAACCAGAAAUGGAGCGGCGCUGCUCCGGGGCAGGCAGCCUCGCCGCAGAACAGAGCAGCGUUCGUGCAAAGGCAAGUCAUUUCCCGAAACACUGCAGACACACGGCCUCAGGCAGCCUAAAACCUUUGGAGACCAAAAUGGCUCGCAGGGGUUGGAAGUAAUAAGGUGUUUUUCCCUUCUUUCUCCUUCACUGAAAUUCUGCGAGGUUGCUCUGCAUGGCUGGGGAACAAUGGUGCUGUUUUUGUGUUUUCUGUGGGUAUUAAGAUCCAUUACGCGGUGACAUUUUUAAGAUUGGUUAGCCUGUAGUUUGGUGUUAAAUUGAAGUUGUUUGUUUUGAAUUUAAUUCUUUCAUUUUUCAAAUGGAAGAAGGCAACUCUGCGGUGCAGUGAGGCUGGCUCACUGAAGUGUGCCCGGACUCGUUCUGGGGCAGAUCUUUGCCACCCCCGGACCUCGGCGGCAUCCGCCACGAAAGAAGAUGACCUAUUUCUCUCUUGGAAGAGCCCUGGCCCUGCAUGAUCCCUGUGCCAUCGAGCAGACAGCAUCUCCCUGAGGUGAUUGGAUCAACUGCUUCGUGUCAGUGUCACCCAUGCUUGCUUCGGAGUUUCAAGGCCUUGAUCCUGGGAAAGGAAGUCGAGAAGGUGAUGAGGAGUCCAACCGCUCAUACCUGGACUCUGGGCCCAUCCCAUGCUACCUUGUGCAUCUCCUUUGCCAAGAUGCCCCUCUGCUGCCUGCCCAGGACACAAGUGGGUUACAGACUGACUUCAAGGUGGGUCCAGGUCAGGCCUCAGGCUCCAACCCUUCCCUGCCACAUCCACAGGGCUGAGGCUCUGGGCCUGGGACUCAGGACCUACAGUUUCCUUUUUGACUCUGUCCCGGGGAUGCACAUGUGGAUUAAAUUAGAGCAAUAUGUUUUUCUAACAGCAUCUUGGCUAAAAACCCAAGCAGAUAAAUGGAAACAAACCCAGCUUUAUGUGAAUGAAAAGGGGCUGAGGGGGGAGCCACUUCUGCCUGAAGCAUCGCAGCCACACAGCCGGCAGGGCUGCCCCCCCGCCCCCCUCCUCCCCCGGCCCCCGUCCAGCCUUGACCCCGGAAGCCCUCACCACGGGGCACCUUCUGCCGCCCAGCCCCCUCACCAGGCCCCUGCUCUGGCUGAACCGGCUUCCUGGCUUCCUGGCCCUCUCCAAACCCGCUCUGUGCCUCCCCAGCCCUUGGUGGUGGCUGUGCCCUCUGUGCAGGAUCCUCUCUCAAGUCCGCCUGGCGCUGUGGUGAAGGGUACACAUUCCAGAGUCACGUGGGCAGGUGGCUUACCUGGCUUAUGGUCAGUUUCCUCACCUGUGAGUGGGGAUGUUCACCCCCCCCCAACCCCACAGAGCUCAGGGAAGACUGAGGAAAUGAUGCUCUUAGCACGGCACCUGGGACACAGCUAACAUUUGCUGUGUGUCAUUGUCAUUAUCAUCAUCUUAUUAUUGUUAUUCUUCUUAUUGCUACCACCUCUCCAAUUCACCUGGCCUCUGUCUUUGCCCCACUGAUCACCUCCUUUAGAGGGGUCCUUUCCUCCCUACAGAAUUCCUUCUGCACCUCCCACUGAUGGUUUCUAGAAGGCAGGGGGCCCUCAGGGCAGGGGCCUCAUCAGGGUAGCAGCAGAGGUGAAGAGGGCGGGUAUUUGGGUAACAUUUGUUGGUAGAUGGGUUUGUGAUCAUGGGCUUUGUUGUUGGUUUUAAUGAGAGGGCAGAGUUGGCCAAGCUCUCCCACAAAGUCUGCCUGUAGCCAUCACUCCUAGGCCUGCUUAUAGGUCUUUCCUGGGGAGCUGGUCCCAGGGGCUCCCUGGGGAAACAGGUGGUAACUUCACACUACCUCAGGGACGGAUUAGUCCCCGGAUGAUGCAUGAGUCCAGGAGUAGUGUUUCGUAUUAUUUGAAGCCACUCUGUUUUGCAGAUGCUUUCAGGGCCUUUCACUGAAGGAGCCCCUCUGAGCAUGAGAGCAUUACUAAAAUCCUUGCUCCUCCACGGCCUUCUCCCCCACCCCCACUGGCUGCUUCCCCACCAGAAAGCCCCACUCACUUGGCAUCCCCCAACUGAGGUCUUUAAGAGGGAAGGGAAGGGGGCACACCUGGUCCCAAUGCUGAGGCACUUAGAUGAGUUCCAGGUGAGGCAAGGGUUCGGUAACUCUCAAGUGCCUGAUGUUACCUACAAAAGCCAACCCCUCCUCUCCUCCUGGCUCAGCGCUCUGCCUCUGCACUUCUCUUGCGGACACGCCAUGCUCUCCUGGAAGGCAGAGGCUGCAUCCAACUCCCCAUUAUCAUCCUCCCAAGACCUAGAACACGGUAGGUGCUGCGUACAUAGAUGCUGUGAAUGAAUGAGAAGGAGACAGGGAGUGUGAAGUAAUAGGAAAUUCACACUGGUGUCUGCCUUUGGUUCCUGGUGGGGGCUCCUGAAAAAUCCUGGUCAUUUCCUGGAUAAUAAGAGGGCCUUUUGUUUGGAGUUUCUUGGUGGCUCAGUGGGUUGGGGAUCCAGCAUGCGUGGUCGCUGCUCUGGCUCAGGUUCGAUCCCUAGCUGGGGAAAUUCUGUGUGCCGCGGGUAUAGCCGGGGGGGAAAAAAAAAAAGUGUCUUGUUGGAAUGAGGUGACUCUGGGGGGCUCCAGGAUGGUGCUGGUCCCUGGAAGGACCAAGCCAUGUUUAGAAGCUUGGAAUUUUCAACCCUGCUUGUGAUUCUCUUGAAAAGGAAGAAGGGCUGAAAAUGGAGUUAAUGAUCAUGCCAAUGUGAUGACGCCUCCUUAAAAAUCCCAAAAGUGCAGGGUUCAGAGACCUUUCAGGUUGGUGAACAUAUCCCCAUACUGGGAGGGUGAACCAACCUAACUCCAUGGGGACAAAAGCUCCUGAGCCUCCCAGAGCCCUACAUAUGCCUGUUGAUCUAUAUCAUGUCCUUUUAUAACCUGGUAGAUGGAGGGACCUGUUUUCCUGAGUUCUGUGAGCUGCACUAGCAAAUUAAUCAAACUCAAGGAGGGGCUCCUGGGCACCUCUGGUUUAUCGCUGAUGGGUCGGACGCGCAGGUGGCAACCAGGUCUUGUAACUAGCAUCUGAAGUGGGGUGGAGGGCGAAGCCACUGGGAUCUGCUGGUAGCUUCAGGUGGAUGGGGCAGAACUGAGGUAAACUGUAGGCCGUCCAGCUGGUGUUGCAGAACUGCUCGGUGUGGGAACUCUUCCCCCCCAUCUGGUGCCCAGAAGUGUUAGAAGUGGGGUGUGCUGUGUGAAAGGAAAGGAAAAAGACAGAAGAAGAGGAAGGAGCGAAUUUUCUUCCUGAUACGCACACAGAGGAGGAGGGCUAAGAAAAUGGCCAUGCAGAGUUCCUGUCAUGGCUCAGUGGUUAACGAACCCCGCUAGUAUCUCUGAGGACGCGGGUUCGAUCCCUGGCCUUGCUCGGUGGGUUAAGGAUCCGCUGUUGCUGUGAGCAGCUGUGGUGUAGGUUGCAGAUGCGGCUCGUAUCUGGCGUUGCUGGGGCUGUGGUGUAGGCGAGCAGCUGCAGCUCUGAUUGGGCCCCUAGUCUGGGAACCUCCAUAUGCCGUGGGUGCGACCCAAAAAAGAAAGAAAGAAAAUGGCAAUGCAGGUUUUUUCACCUUUAGGAUGUGUCACAGGAAGCUGGUUGAGUGAAAGAAAACGAGGGCCCUUGAUACCCCUCUGGGCAGUGAUCUUCACCAAGGGUGGCCCAUAGGGAAUAAACACCUUCUCUCACUCCAGUCUUGAGCUGGAGAAACCCCUGGGGGCUGGACCCGACUAGAAGCCAGAGACAAAGGAGCCCAUUGAUGUGGUCCUCACGGGCCAGCCUUGAGGGCAGAGAGGCAGGUGAAGAAGCAUCUGGAAGGGCAGAAGGAGUGUGCGAGGCUCUCCUGGGAAGCAGGGAUGUGGCCGCCGUGCCUCAGCACUGUUCUCUGAUGGGGACAAAAAGGGCUUUUCCUCAGCUUUGCGCAUCCUCUCCAGCUCAGAUUCCCACGCUUUUUCAAUUCCCCACAGAAGACGGUGCUCGAAGGUAAACCUCUGACCUCCCACCUUCCCACACCCCAGUCUGAAACAGGGGAUCAGAAGUCACAAGCUUAAAAUCACAGCCGGGCUUUCUCCCCAAGCUGGUUUGGGAUUAUCGAGGUCAGAGUGCAUGGGAAGGAAAAAAAGCAGAUUCCUCCCUUUUAGGAAAAUAGUUUACAGUCGAAGCUACUCUUAUCUGCAUGCUCUUUUUGGUGACAAAGGGCGGAUGGAAAAUCAGGGAGUCGUUUUCUUUCUUUUCUUUUACAUUUUUUUUUUCUUCUGAUUUGAUGCUGGUGUCUUAAGACUCUGAGUUUAUAUUAAACAUGUGAAAGUGCCAAACCUCAAAGCGAAUCCGUGGAGCCAAAGUAAGUGGAAUGGUAGCGGAGAAGAAAAACGAAGGCGAGGUUGUGAUGUGGCGGCGCAGGAGGCCCUGUGGGCCCGCUCAUCUCAAAUUCUGCAGUGCGGGCUGUGCGGGAUCACAGCGCAUCCCAGCACCGGCUCCGAUCUUGUUGCCACGGGUGAGACGGGCCGGGCGGCAGCAUCCCACACAUUCAAAAGACUUGAGUGGCUGGUGGGGGGCUUGGAUUGCCUUCCACCAGCCACACACGAAGUCUAGAGUCUGGGAGAUGUCUUCUCCCCCAGCACGGUCUCCUUCUAGCGCCAUAAAGUGGGGAGCCCCUCUGUAGCUUUCUUUUCCACUAUGCCGUCUCUCUAUAGAAACAUAGCUAGAUAGAUGGAUAGAUGGAUAAAAACUUGUCAUGUUGAUGUGUAUAGAUCCAGGUUAUUCAUUUUAAUUACUAAAUAUAUUUCAUUAUGUGACUAUACUCCAUUUUAUUUAUUCAUGGCUAAAUGAAUGGAAAUUUAGGAUCGUCCCACUUAGGGGCUAAUAAACAAUGCUGACUCAACACGUUUUAAUGGCUCCUUGUGCGCCCCCACCCCAGGACUCUGGGGUAUGUAGCUCAAUGAGGAACUGUCAGGUGAUGGGUGCAUCUUGAACUUCUCAAGCUCUUGCCAAAUUCACCUCCCACUGGGAACACAAAACUGGUCCCAUUUCCCGCAUCCUUGCCAAUGGUUGAUGUUCUCAGAUGAUCAUAUUGUGCCAUUCUUAAUUUAUAUUUCCCUAUUUAAUAGUGAGCUUGAGGAGUUUCCAGGUGGCACAUCGGAUUAAGGAUCCAUAGUUGCUACUGCUAUGGCACGGUUUGAUCACUGGCCCCAGGAUGUCCACGUGUCCAGGCAAAAGAAGCCCAUGAUUCUUCAAGGCCAAAAAAAAGAGCCCGAAUAUCUUUUCACAUGUUUAUGGACUAUCUUGUUUUUUUUCACCUAUGAUUUGCCUGAUGGUAUCCUGACAUUUUUCUGUUAGAUUACUUAUAUUUUCUUACUGAUUUGUAACAGUUUGUGAAAUGUUCUGGCUAUGACUUUUUUUCAGUUAUUUGGGUUGUAAUCUCCUCUCCAGUCUAUGGACUGUUUUUUUUGUUUGUUUGGUUGGUUGGUUUUGUUUUUUGUCUUUUUAGAGCCGCACAUGGGGCAUAUGGAGGUUCCCAGGUUAGGGGUAGAAUCAGAGCUAUUUGCUACAGCAAAGCCAUAUCUGAGCCAGAUCUGCAACCUACACCACAGCUCAUGGCAAUGACAGAUCCUCACCUACUGAGUGAGGCUGGGGAUUGAACCUGGGUCCUCAUGGAUGCUAGUCAGAUUCAUUUCCACUGAGCCACACUGGGACUCCUGUGUGGUUUUUUUGUUUUGUUUUGUUUUUUUAGCAUUGCUGGUGGUUUCUUUUGAUGCACAGAAUUUUUGAAUUUUAAUGUAGUAGAAGUCUUCUUUUGUGGCUUGUAAUUUUUCUUUUCUCAAAAGUCCUUCUCUAAUCUCUAUGACAUAAAAAUAUUUUCCCCAUGUUUUUCUUCAAAUUGGUUGAAGCAUAAGGUACACACAGUAAAAUGCACCCAUUUGAAGUGCAGAAUCUGAUGCAUGUUGAGAAAUGUAUACAAUCAUGUAACCAUGACCCCAAAGAAGAUAAAGAAUGUUCCCUCACACUUGCCCAGACCAGCUGCCUUCCCACCCAGCCCCUGGCCCCAGGCAAUGACUGAUCUGCUUUUUGCCCCUACAAAUCAGCUUUACCUUUUCCAAAUUUUAAAUAAAUAAAAUACAUGGCAUUUUGACUUGUGGCUUUUGCCCGGCAUAAUGCUUUUGAGGUUCAUCCAUGCCGUCACAGGUCAUGGAGUGCUUCCUCUUUAUUGCUGCAUAGUAUUCCAUUGUAUGGAUAUAACACAAUUUGUUUUUCCAGUGAGUCUGUUAAAUGUUUGAGUCAUUUCCAGUUUAUUAUGAAUAAAGCUGCUAUGAAUAUUUGUGUACAA
Molecule: non-coding RNA, 7193 nt
Organism: Sus scrofa (pig)
Lineage: Eukaryota; Metazoa; Chordata; Mammalia; Artiodactyla; Suidae
Source: RefSeq, a predicted model, not a curated record